RNAcentral lists this ribosomal RNA (445 nucleotides) under uncultured bacterium. RNAcentral describes it as "partial 16S ribosomal RNA". It matches the Rfam family "Bacterial small subunit ribosomal RNA", at positions 354 to 796 of the family's 1533-position model. The record is from RNAcentral.
GUGAGGAAUAUUGGUCAAUGGGCGGGAGCCUGAACCAGCCAAGUCGCGUGAAGGAAGAAGGAUCUAUGGUUCGUAAACUUCUUUUGCAGGGGAAUAAAGUGCAGGACGUGUCCUGUUUUGUAUGUACCCUGAGAAUAAGGAUCGGCUAACUCCGUGCCAGCAGCCGCGGUAAUACGGAGGAUCCGAGCGUUAUCCGGAUUUAUUGGGUUUAAAGGGUGCGUAGGUGGUUUGAUAAGUCAGCGGUGAAAGUUUGCAGCUUAACUGUAAAAAUGCCGUUGAAACUGUCGGACUGGAGUGUAAAUGAGGUAGGCGGAAUGCGUGGUGUAGCGGUGAAAUGCAUAGAUAUCACGCAGAACUCCGAUUGCGAAGGCAGCUUACUAAGCUACAACUGACACUGAAGCACGAAAGCGUGGGGAUCAAACAGGAUUAGAUACCCCAGUAGUCC